Molecule: ribosomal RNA, 292 nt
Filed under: uncultured bacterium
Lineage: Bacteria
Description: partial 16S ribosomal RNA
Rfam family: Bacterial small subunit ribosomal RNA
Source: RNAcentral
GUGCCAGCAGCCGCGGUAAGACGAACCGUGCGAACGUUGUUCGGAAUCACUGGGCUUAAAGGGCGCGUAGGCGGCUUACCAAGUCCGGGGUGAAAUUUUGCGGCUUAACCGUAACAGUGCCUUGGAUACUGGUAGGCUCGAGGGAGAUAGGGGUUCGCGGAACUUCCGGUGGAGCGGUGAAAUGCGUUGAUAUCGGAAGGAACGCCGGUGGCGAAAGCGGCGAACUGGAUCUCUUCUGACGCUGAGGCGCGAAAGCUAGGGGAGCAAACGGGAUUAGAUACCCUCGUAGUCC